AAAUAAGCUCAGCAAUGGUCACAGUUGAGAAUUCGAGUUUGCAAAGUAGUAUUGGUAUUGAUGAGAAAAUUAAACAACCGAUAUAUGCCAGAGUAAACAAUAACUAUGCCAAGUUAUUCUUUAAACUUUAGAAUGUGAAAAUUAGAUCAAUUGGAAUGCUUUUGUAAAAUAUUGUCUAGUGGUUUGAAAGUAGCCAGCGAAAGACAACACAAACAAGGACAGAAAGGAACUACCAAGUAAUUUGA
Schizosaccharomyces pombe (fission yeast) is the source of this 245-nucleotide non-coding RNA. The record is from the annotation of a GenBank genome assembly. Lineage: Eukaryota; Fungi; Ascomycota; Schizosaccharomycetes; Schizosaccharomycetales; Schizosaccharomycetaceae.